GACGAACGCUGGCGGCGUGCCUAAUACAUGCAAGUUGAGCGAUGAAGAUUGGUGCUUGCCCCAAUUUGAAGAGCAGCGAACGGGUGAGUAACGCGUGGGGAAUCUGCCUUUGAGCGGGGGACAACAUUUGGAAACGAAUGCUAAUACCGCAUAACAACCUUAAACAUAAGUUUUAAGUUUGAAAGAUGCAAUUGCAUCACUCAAAGAUGAUCCCGCGUUGUAUUAGCUAGUUGGUGAGGUAAAGGCUCACCAAGGCGAUGAUACAUAGCCGACCUGAGAGGGUGAUCGGCCACAUUGGGACUGAGACACGGCCCAAACUCCUACGGGAGGCAGCAGUAGGGAAUCUUCGGCAAUGGACGAAAGUCUGACCGAGCAACGCCGCGUGAGUGAAGAAGGGUGUCGGAUCGUAAAACUCUGUUGGUAGAGAAGAACGUUGGUGAGAGUGGAAAGCUCAUCAAGUGACGGUAACUACACAGAAAGGGACGGCUAACUACGUG
This 497-nucleotide ribosomal RNA is filed under the name uncultured bacterium. RNAcentral describes it as "partial 16S ribosomal RNA". It matches the Rfam family "Bacterial small subunit ribosomal RNA", at positions 28 to 507 of the family's 1533-position model. The record is from RNAcentral.